RNAcentral lists this ribosomal RNA (253 nucleotides) under uncultured bacterium. RNAcentral's name for it is "partial 16S ribosomal RNA". It matches the Rfam family "Bacterial small subunit ribosomal RNA", at positions 524 to 776 of the family's 1533-position model. The record is from RNAcentral.
UACGAAGGGUGCAAACGUUGCUCGGAAUUAUUGGGCGUAAAGCGCACGUAGGCGGCAUUGCAAGUCGGAUGUGAAAUCCCUCGGCUCAACCAAGGAAGUGCAUCCGAAACUGCUGUGCUUGAGUACUUAAGAGGAUCGCGGAAUUCCCGGUGUAGAGGUGAAAUUCGUAGAUAUCGGGAGGAACACCAGUGGCGAAGGCGACUACCUGGCCUGUUCUUGACGCUGAGGCGCGAAAGCUAGGGGAGCAAACGGG